CCUAUUACUCCGGUUAAGAAACUCGAAUUUCAUUCGUUCGUCGUUAAAUGGCUGUAUUAAUUCUUAGUUGUGAUCGAGUUGAAGAUAAUCGCCUGGAGCAGGUAACAGCCAUCGUAGACUUCAUGGAGAAGCACCCUGCACUAGGGCUUGGACAGCUCCGUGGACUGGAAGGCAGAGACGAGAGCAAGAAACUGUGGUUAAAGUUAACUCGCAUUGUCAAUAAUAUUUCUGGGCCUACGAGGCCUAUGAAGUCUUGGAUCAAGUACUGGGCUGACAAAAAAUCUACAGUAAGAUCAAAAGUACAAGGAUGUGGUGGGGAUCCAAAUAGCCUAUGUUCUAACAUUGAGAAGAAAAUAUGGGAUGUUUUCUUAGCAAAUGAUAAUUCAAGAACAAAUCGAGGUGCUGUGAAACAAGAAUCUCAUUAUACUGAAGAUAACUUUUUUAACGAAGACAGCAUGGAUCAGAACCAUGUUGAAUCCGAUCCGGUGCUGGCGUUCGAGGAACCCGUCGCCGAUGCUGAGGAGAGGCAAAUGGCGGUAAUGGAGAAACUGGUUAAAGUAAUGAGCGAUCAAGCGGCUGCGAUGACUCAGUUGGCUCACGCGUCUCACGUGAACGCUCAGGCCAUGGAACGGCUUGCGGAAGCGUCACACAUACAGGCUCGAGCGAUAGAGCGUUUAGCGAACACGUUCGACACGAUCAGUGCGGCGACGCACGACGUGCGCAACGCGAUCGUCGACAUCGACGCGACGAUGAAGCGAUUCUAUUCAACGUCGCCGACUUAGCAUCGGUACUCGCGUUUAUGUGAUCUGAACUGUCUGCUCGAGGACCGAGGUGACUUGUGAAUUAACCGUCGAUAUGUAUAUCGAAGGUAGAUUUGUUAUACCCGUCUACAUUCAGCGCGAGUCGUAGACCGCGUAUCCGAAGUAUAUGUUACAGUAUGUAGACGAUGUGUGUGAGUUGUAUAGUAUUAAUAUUGAGUCAUUUUAAUAGGUAACAUUUGACGUCUGUCAGUUUUUUUAAGUGAUUUUAUGACCUGGUAACUAAGACCUUUAAGUCAUGUCUUAUUUUAUUUAAUAUUCUUAUUUUUAUGAAAAAUGUGAAUUUGGAGUGAAAUGAAGAUGAUUAAUUUGAGAUAUUAAUCAACUGGGAUGAAAUUAAAUGAAAUGAGGGGAUGGAUGGGGGAAUGAUAGGAUGAAAUAUAAUCUCAGUAAAAUGGUGGUCAUUUACUGAGAUUUUUUUCAGUGAACUUUUUGGAUGGAUCCCGAGAAGUUACGUCCAGCAGCGUUGUUUCAUUUUCUCACAUUUGUGCACUUUCACAGAUAUGAAACAGUUAAUAAACCACCGUUAUUACACAUUUAAACCUGAAGAAACACUAAAUAUACAGACUAUAACAAAUCACACAACUUCACUCCUCGCGUUCCCGCCAAAAAAUCCUCUGUCAUAGUGGGGAGACCUGCUUAAAAACAUCGAUUAAAGUGAAUGAAUCGAUACGUAUUCGAAACAUAUUUGAAUUAUAAAAAUCAGCAUACGAAUCCCUGUCCCAUUAUUAUUUUUUCUUUCGUAAAUUUAAAGAGCAAAAUAAGACAAGUAUGUACAGAAUUUAACAAAAAUAUUGCAUUUAUUCAGUUGAAAUAUCAGAACUAUUAUUAGUAUUCUCAUCUUCAUCACUGCUAUCAGGACUCUGAGAUACUAUUAAUUUAUUUUUAUUAAUAUUGUCUAUUCUCUCGUUCAAAAUCUUGUAAAAUGAUUUUCUUUGUUUUCUCUACGACUUUUCUCCAGUCCUCUGUAGUGAUUUCUGCACACGCAGUUUGUAGCAGAGUCUUCAUUUUAGCAGUAAUGAAGGGUGGUUCAGUGUUGUUCCGCGCUACAUGAAUAUCAAGAUUACUGAUAUUCAAAUGUUACCUACCUAUUAAAAUGACCUAUGAGUAAUAUAUUUUUUAUAAUACGUGUUUAUAUUGUAAUUCAAUAUCUAAUUAUUAUCUGUAAACGAUCUAAUGUUAUGUUUUAAAAUUGCUUUUUUUUGUAAAACGUAAAUAUUAAUUGUUUUAAUUCAAAAACUGCUGGUAGAACGUCUUGUGAGUCCGCGCGGGUAGGUACCACCACCCGGCCUAUUUCUGCCGUGAAGCAGUAAUGCGUUUCGGUUUGAAGGGUGGCGCAGCCGUUGUAACUAUACUGAGACCUUAGAACUCAUCUGUCAUGGUAGGUGGCAAAAUUUACAAUCAAUCAUCAAUGCAAUGAAUAAAUAAAAGCAGUAGUAAAAAUUUGAGAAAUCCAAUAAAUAAAUGAAAGAGUUAAGGGCCCUUAUGGUGUUAAAUGAAGUCUCAUAGACGUCACAAUGUGAAUGACGUCACUCACCUAGAGUUGAGGUCUAUGCCUCAAUCGUAUAGUUGCUACGAAAAUUUGGUUUUUAUUACACGAUGUUUUUUCUUCAUCGUGGAGUUCACACAGUUCACGGACGUCAAUUAUACACAUAUACGAUACACUAUGUACGUGCUUUGUUUUUCCAUUAGUAUUAUUUAAUAAAUAAAUACAAUAAAUUUAUUUUAUCUAUGG
Molecule: RNA transcript, 2553 nt
Organism: Bombyx mori (domestic silkworm)
Lineage: Eukaryota; Metazoa; Arthropoda; Insecta; Lepidoptera; Bombycidae
Exons: 7
Source: RefSeq, a predicted model, not a curated record